CCUAGGUAACUCCACCAACAAACCACCUGACAUAACUCAACAGAAUACACCCUGUGCCUGCGGAUUGACCAGCAAAAACUUUCAUGUCCCGUGUUGGAGGUGGGGCGAUAACAAUAGCAAUAGCAAUCUGAUGACACCUCACUGCUCAGAGCUAGUCCGCUCACUAUCCCCACUCCUAACACCAAAACAAGCACAAGCCACAACCUGUAGCAAAAGAACACGAGGUGAUAACACCAAUCAACCCUCGAACCUACCAGCUCGAUAACCCCGAGACUAAAUCUCGUAUACCCCGCGCUCGUACGUGCCUACGAUUUUAUGGUCAUCCUAUGGUCAAC
RNAcentral lists this long non-coding RNA (335 nucleotides) under Ananas comosus (pineapple). Its description in RNAcentral is "long non-coding RNA (ACOM_LNC022254)". Lineage: Eukaryota; Viridiplantae; Streptophyta; Magnoliopsida; Poales; Bromeliaceae. The record is from RNAcentral.